AACCGCAUGCAGGUAAACGGGUGGCGUCAAGCUGCAAGCCCGGAGGAUUCAGCUGGCUAGGAUGUUGUGAUGUGCCUGGCGCAUCCAUCAGCCGGAGUAAGAUGUGAUAGUCCACUGGGAGACGGUGGGCCCGGCCGCAAGGUUGGGAUAUGUGUACCGGGUGUUAGCCGGAGCAUGCUAUUCGUCUGUUGGGCUGUCUAGCUAGUGCACUUUCUCUGUGGUGAACACCACGACCGGUGGGACUGCCAGUCUGCUGUAGUCAAGUCUUGCUGAGUUGGUCCUCGUGGCUGACUUGGUGGGAUCACAGGCAAUGUCAGUGAACGGCGUAGGAGUGCCUUUGGUGUUCCUACGUGUUAUCGGCCGCUGCUUGUCAACGGGCCUGCUCGGUGGUUGUUGUAACUGCCAUUGGGUGGUCUGGUGGACUAUGGUGGUAUUAAAAACUGUGCAGGGCACCGGAUAUGUCGGCCUCAAAAGCGUCCUGCACUGGCAUGUUACAAGUGCGAGGGGGUAUCAUUGCGGCUCGCCUGUUGUUGAGUCUGAUCGUCGUGUCGCCUGCGCAAAGUGGGCCCGGCGGUGGCUUGAUGCAGGAUGGGUGGUGGAUGGUGCUUCUCAGGUGUAGGGGGCGGUGGGCCCAAUAGUCAGUGGUGCAGUGGUAGACGAGCUACCCGACCCGUCUUGAAACACGGACCAAGGAGUUUAACAUGUAUGCAAGUCAAGGGGUCCUACGAAACCCAAAGGCGCAGUGAAAGUAAAGCUUCGACUUGUUCUCGGAGUGAGGUGAGAUCCUGCCGUGACUCGCAUCGCUUGGUGCCAGCAUCAGGCAAAGAGCGGCAGGCGCAUCACCGGCCCGUCCCAUGAUGUGGUCAUUGGAUGUCUGCAGUUGUUGCUUGC
Molecule: ribosomal RNA, 891 nt
Filed under: Scyphophyllidium bullardi
Lineage: Eukaryota; Metazoa; Platyhelminthes; Cestoda; Phyllobothriidea; Phyllobothriidae
Description: partial large subunit ribosomal RNA
Source: RNAcentral